This 497-nucleotide ribosomal RNA is filed under the name uncultured bacterium. RNAcentral's name for it is "partial 16S ribosomal RNA". It matches the Rfam family "Bacterial small subunit ribosomal RNA", at positions 28 to 507 of the family's 1533-position model. The record is from RNAcentral.
GAUGAACGCUGGCGGCGUGCCUAAUACAUGCAAGUCGAACGCUGAAGGAAGGAGCUUGCUCUUUCCGGAUGAGUUGCGAACGGGUGAGUAACGCGUAGGUAACCUGCCUGGUAGCGGGGGAUAACUAUUGGAAACGAUAGCUAAUACCGCAUAACAGUAGAUGUUGCAUGAUAUCUACUUAAAAGGUGCAAUUGCACCACUACCAGAUGGACCUGCGUUGUAUUUGCUAGUUGGUGAGGUAACGGCUCACCAAGGCGACGAUACAUAGCCGACCUGAGAGGGUGAUCGGCCACACUGGGACUGAGACACGGCCCAGACUCCUACGGGAGGCAGCAGUAGGGAAUCUUCGGCAAUGGACGGAAGUCUGACCGAGCAACGCCGCGUGAGUGAAGAAGGGUUUCGGAUCGUAAAGCUCUGUUGUAAGAGAAGAACGAGUGUGAGAGUGGAAAGUUCACACUGUGACGGUAUCUUACCAGAAAGGGACGGCUAACUACGUG